GAUGAACGCUGGCGGCGUGCCUAAUACAUGCAAGUCGAGCGAACAGACGAGGAGCUUGCUCCUCUGACGUUAGCGGCGGACGGGUGAGUAACACGUGGAUAACCUACCUAUAAGACUGGGAUAACUUCGGGAAACCGGAGCUAAUACCGGAUAAUAUAUUGAACCGCAUUGUUCAAUAGUGAAAGACGGUUUUGCUGUCACUUAUAGAUGGAUCCGCGCCGCAUUAGCUAGUUGGUAAGGUAACGGCUUACCAAGGCAACGAUGCGUAGCCGACCUGAGAGGGUGAUCGGCCACACUGGAACUGAGACACGGUCCAGACUCCUACGGGAGGCAGCAGUAGGGAAUCUUCCGCAAUGGGCGAAAGCCUGACGGAGCAACGCCGCGUGAGUGAUGAAGGUCUUCGGAUCGUAAAACUCUGUUAUCAGGGAAGAACAAAUGUGUAAGUAACUAUGCACGUCUUGACGGUACCUAAUCAGAAAGCCACGGCUAACUACGUG
RNAcentral lists this ribosomal RNA (497 nucleotides) under uncultured bacterium. Its description in RNAcentral is "partial 16S ribosomal RNA". It matches the Rfam family "Bacterial small subunit ribosomal RNA", at positions 28 to 507 of the family's 1533-position model. The record is from RNAcentral.